UACAACACAAAACCAAAACGCAGCAAAAUAAUAAUUAAAAAAAUGACAGUGUCAAGACCUAUAUUCCUUCUUUCUUUGUUUUCUCUGCUCUCCGUUUCAUGGGAGGCAGCAUCAGCUUCAGGUUCAGGUUCAGCUCAUGGUGGAAGGGAAACCUUUCUGCAGUGUCUUUUGGACCAUUCUCAUCCUUCGCAUCCAAUCUCCACAGCAAUUUACACUCCAAACAAUGCUUCAUACUCCUCUGUGUUACAAUCUUAUAUUCGAAAUCUUCGAUUCAACAUGUCCACGACCCCAAAACCACUCCUUAUCCUCACUGCAUUGCAUGAAUCUCAUUUCCAAGCUGCCAUUGUUUGUGCUCGAAUGCAUGGCUUGCAAAUGAAAAUCAGAAGCGGAGGUCAUGACUACGAGGGUAUUUCUUACUUCUCAGAAGUCCCCUUCUUUAUUCUUGACAUGUUUAAUCUCCUUAAAAUAAAUGUUGACAAGCAGACUGAGACAGCUUGUGUUCAGGCUGAGAAAAGUAAAGUUCAUGGUUUUCCAGCUGGUGUUUGCCCUAAAGUUUGGUGUUGGAGGUCAUUUCAGUGGUGGUGGAUAUGGAAACAUGAUGAGAAAGUACGGACUUUCAGUCGAUAACAUUAUUGAUGCUCAAUUGGUGGAUGUCAAAUGGCAGACUUCUUGACAAGAAAUCUAUGGGAGAAGAUCUUUUCUGGGCUAUAACAGGUGGUGGAGGAGCUAGCUUUGGUGUAGUUCUGGCAUAUAAAAUAAAAAUUGUUCGAGUUCCAGAAUUAGUAACCGUUUUCCUGGUUCGAAGAACACUGGAACAGAAUGCAACAGGUAUUGUGUGUCGAUGGCACAAGCUGGACGAAGAUCUCUCCAUCAGACUUGUCCUAGAUGUCGUUAACGGAAGUCAAAGUGAUGGAAAGACGAUAAGGGCUACAUUUCGAGCCCCGUUUCUUGGAGAUUCUGCAAGACUUCUUUCAGUGAUGAAAUCGAGCUUUCCUGAACUUGGUUUGGUUCAAUAUGAUUGUAUCGAAAUGACUUGGCUAGAAUCAGUCCUGUACUGGACAGAGUUCCCAAUCGGUAUACCAACUAAGGCUUUGCUGAGUCGAACACCUCAAGUACUAACCCAUUCGAGAAAAUAAGAUUAUGUAAAAAAAACCAAUUCCGAAAGCUGGAUUGGAGGGAAUUUGGAAGAAAAUGAUGGAGUUGCAGGUGCCAGCCCUGACGCUUAACCCUUAUGGUGAGAAAAUGGGCCAAGUUCCUGCAACAGCUACUCCAUUUCCUCAUCGAGCUGGGAAUUUAUGGAAGACUCAGUAUGCGACAAACUGGAAUCAAGAUGGAAAAGAGCAAGCAAAUCACCACAUAGAAUUGACGAGGAAGCUCUACAAUUAUAUGACUCCAUUUGUAUCCAAGAAUCCAAGGAAGGCAUUCCUUAACUACAGAGAUCUUGAUUUGGGUAUCAACCAUAAUGGGAAGGAAAGCUACUGAGAGGGGAAAGUUUUUGGGAUCAAGUACUUCAAAGGUAAUUUUAAAAUGUUGUCCCAAAUAAAGUGACCAAGAAAAGGUGAAUUAGAUACUUUAAGCAAUUUUUUAGUCCUUGCUUAAGGCUUAGUGAAAAAUUAAGGCUAAGCAUUUAUAAAUUUGUUUAUAACUCUGUUUUCAAAGUGAAAUCUAAGUGACCCAACAAGUUGUGCACAAACAGCAGUUGAAUCACAAGAUGAUAACUUAACAUCAAAUAUUUCUUUUCACAUAUAGUUCAAAAUAUGUAGGUCUGAUUGUUCAAACUCAAUAUUAACUUCAAUAAAAUAAAUUCUCAACAUAUUCAAUAUAUAACGGAGUAAUAAAGUGCUGGAAAUUAAAGAUUUAAGGGAA
Molecule: unclassified non-coding RNA, 1866 nt
Filed under: Hevea brasiliensis (rubber tree)
Lineage: Eukaryota; Viridiplantae; Streptophyta; Magnoliopsida; Malpighiales; Euphorbiaceae
Source: RNAcentral